This 429-nucleotide ribosomal RNA is filed under the name Chloroflexota bacterium. RNAcentral's name for it is "Chloroflexi bacterium partial 16S ribosomal RNA". It matches the Rfam family "Bacterial small subunit ribosomal RNA", at positions 355 to 776 of the family's 1533-position model. Lineage: Bacteria; Bacillati; Chloroflexota. The record is from RNAcentral.
UGGGGAAUAUUGCACAAUGGGCGCAAGCCUGAUGCAGCCAUGCCGCGUGUAUGAAGAAGGCCUUCGGGUUGUAAAGUACUUUCAGCGGGGAGGAAGGGAGUAAAGUUAAUACCUUUGCUCAUUGACGUUACCCGCAGAAGAAGCACCGGCUAACUCCGUGCCAGCAGCCGCGGUAAUACGGAGGGUGCAAGCGUUAAUCGGAAUUACUGGGCGUAAAGCGCACGCAGGCGGUUUGUUAAGUCAGAUGUGAAAUCCCCGGGCUCAACCUGGGAGCUGCAUCUGAUACUGGCAAGCUUGAGUCUCGUAGAGGGGGGUAGAAUUCCAGGUGUAGCGGUGAAAUGCGUAGAGAUCUGGAGGAAUACCGGUGGCGAAGGCGGCCCCCUGGACAAAGACUGACGCUCAGGUGCGAAGGCGUGGGGAGCAAACAGG